Molecule: long non-coding RNA, 404 nt
Filed under: Physcomitrium patens
Lineage: Eukaryota; Viridiplantae; Streptophyta; Bryopsida; Funariales; Funariaceae
Description: long non-coding RNA (PPAT_LNC014952)
Source: RNAcentral
GGAUCAUAUUGCUUUAGUAGCAAUUUAAGAUUGUAUAGAUUUUUUUUUUUUUUUUUUUUUUCAUGGCAAAGUAUCAUAGAAAGCCAAUGAAGCAUGGCUUGUCCUUGAAAAUGCAUACUUUGCUAGUGACAUAAUCACUCAAGCCCAUCUAUAAGAAAAAUUCAUCACUCAAAAGAUGAAAUCCACAGAAUCAAUAAUCCAAUAUAUAUACAACUUAAAAAAUGUACUUCAACAAUGCAAUUCUAUAGGAGUUAUUAUUUCUCUUCAAAUAGAACUUCUCACUGUCAUAAAGUUUCUGCCAUCCAAUUAUAAAACUGUGAUUCUAAUGCUUUACAUAACAAAAACAACAAGACUUUUGAAACUUUUUAAAAUUCUAACAUAAAAAAAAUUGCUAUAAAAGGUUU